RNAcentral lists this ribosomal RNA (475 nucleotides) under uncultured organism. Its description in RNAcentral is "partial 16S ribosomal RNA". It matches the Rfam family "Bacterial small subunit ribosomal RNA", at positions 335 to 801 of the family's 1533-position model. The record is from RNAcentral.
ACUCCUACGGGAGGCAGCAGUGGGGAAUUUUGGACAAUGGGCGAAAGCCUGAUCCAGCCAUGCCGCGUGCAGGAUGAAGGCCUUCGGGUUGUAAACUGCUUUUGUACGGAACGAAACGGCCUUUUCUAAUAAAGAGGGCUAAUGACGGUACCGUAAGAAUAAGCACCGGCUAACUACGUGCCAGCAGCCGCGGUAAUACGUAGGGUGCAAGCGUUAAUCGGAAUUACUGGGCGUAAAGCGUGCGCAGGCGGUUAUGUAAGACAGUUGUGAAAUCCCCGGGCUCAACCUGGGAACUGCAUCUGUGACUGCAUAGCUAGAGUACGGUAGAGGGAGAUGGAAUUCCGCGUGUAGCAGUGAAAUGCGUAGAUAUGCGGAGGAACACCGAUGGCGAAGGCAAUCCCCUGGACCUGUACUGACGCUCAUGCACGAAAGCGUGGGGAGCAAACAGGAUUAGAAACCCCGGUAGUCCCAUGAU